RNAcentral lists this ribosomal RNA (433 nucleotides) under uncultured bacterium. RNAcentral's name for it is "partial 16S ribosomal RNA". It matches the Rfam family "Bacterial small subunit ribosomal RNA", at positions 29 to 507 of the family's 1533-position model. The record is from RNAcentral.
AACGAACGCUGGCGGCAUGCCUAACACAUGCAAGUCGAACGAGACCUUCGGGUCUAGUGGCGCACGGGUGCGUAACGCGUGGGAACCUGCCCUUAGGUUCGGAAUAACUCCCCGAAAGGGGUGCUAAUACCGGAUAAUGUCUUCGGACCAAAGAUUUAUCGCCUUUGGAUGGGCCCGCGUUGGAUUAGCUAGUUGGUAGGGUAAAAGCCUACCAAGGCGACGAUCCAUAGCUGGUCUGAGAGGAUGAUCAGCCACACUGGGACUGAGACACGGCCCAGACUCCUACGGGAGGCAGCAGUGGGGAAUAUUGGACAAGGGGCGAAAGCCUGAUCCAGCCAUGCCGCGUGAGUGAUGAAGGCCUUAGGGUUGUAAAGCUCUUUUACCCGGGAUGAUAAUGACAGUACCGGGAGAAUAAGCUCCGGCUAACUCCGUG